AUUGAACGCUGGCGGCAUGCCUAACACAUGCAAGUCGAACGGCAGCACAGUAAAGACUUCGGUCUUUAUGGGUGGCGAGUGGCGGACGGGUGAGUAACGCGUAGGAAUCUGUCAUGGAGAGUGGGAUAACUCGAGGAAACUCGGGCUAAUACCGCAUGAUAUCGAGAGAUCAAAGGCAGGGGACCCUUCGGGGACUUGCGCUCUAGGUUGAGCCUACGUCGGAUUAGCUAGUUGGUGGGGUAAAGGCCUACCAAGGCGACGAUCCGUAGCUGGUCUGAGAGGAUGACCAGCCACACUGGGACUGAGACACGGCCCAGACGCCUACGGGAGGCAGCAGUGGGGAAUCUUGGACAAUGGGGGAAACCCUGAUCCAGCGAUGCCGCGUGUGUGAAGAAGGCCUUCGGGUUGUAAAGCACUUUAGGUGGGGAAGAAAGGUAAUGAGUGAAUAACUGAUUGCUUUGACGGUACCCGCAGAAUAAGCACCGGCUAACUCUGUGCCAGCCGCCGCCGUAA
RNAcentral lists this ribosomal RNA (513 nucleotides) under uncultured bacterium. Its description in RNAcentral is "partial 16S ribosomal RNA". It matches the Rfam family "Bacterial small subunit ribosomal RNA", at positions 30 to 523 of the family's 1533-position model. The record is from RNAcentral.